UUUAGGUAUUGUGCUUCACUGUUAAUUUUCUCAUUUUCAGUCACUUAAGACCACUGUAACUUUGCACGCUAUCUUGAAAAGUCCUCCUUUUUUUUUCCCCCCCUCCCACUUUUCCUUUUCUGGAAUUUGACUGCAAACAAAUUUCCCAGCAGUUUUCUUUCUCAUCAGUUGAAGUGAGCUCCUUGUGUCCUUGCUGUCUGGCAUAUUCUCUAGUCCUGUAACCAUAUUUGUGGUUCCUGUCUGAUCUUUCUGCAAUUUACCCCCUCUUGCUGUUCUGUUCUGCAGGGCCCUAGCUUAGAAACACAGAUGGUGGAUGAUGAAACUGAGACUACAGGUGAAGAAUUGCCUCCUCAUCUGCGGGAAGAGCCUCCUGAAGAGCCCAUCUGCUGGGGCAGUCUAUCCCAUGGAGCUGCACCUUCAGAAAUGUCCUGAAUGAGGUUAGUAAAGGUGUGAGACUGCUAAGGACACAUCUGCUUUUGUUCUCUUUAACUCAGGUGUU
RNAcentral lists this long non-coding RNA (499 nucleotides) under Cyanistes caeruleus (blue tit). RNAcentral describes it as "lncRNA (ENSCCEG00000003061.1)". Lineage: Eukaryota; Metazoa; Chordata; Aves; Passeriformes; Paridae. The record is from RNAcentral.